Molecule: non-coding RNA, 90 nt
Organism: Mycena galericulata
Lineage: Eukaryota; Fungi; Basidiomycota; Agaricomycetes; Agaricales; Mycenaceae
Source: the annotation of a GenBank genome assembly
GGCCUGGUGGUGGAUGGUCCACAUCUGCUUCAUGUACUGCGGGGUGCAGAUUCUCAGCAGAAGGUGUCUGUUUGAUUCAGACCCAGGCCA